RNAcentral lists this ribosomal RNA (484 nucleotides) under uncultured bacterium. RNAcentral describes it as "partial 16S ribosomal RNA". It matches the Rfam family "Bacterial small subunit ribosomal RNA", at positions 28 to 523 of the family's 1533-position model. The record is from RNAcentral.
GACGAACGCUGGCGGCGUGCUUAACACAUGCAAGUCGAACGAUGAAGCCGGAGCUUGCUCUGGUGAAUUAGUGGCGAACGGGUGAGUAACACGUGAGUAACCUGCCCUUGACUCUGGGAUAACUGCGGGAAACUGUAGCUAAUACCGGAUACGACCCUCGGAGGCAUCUCCUGGGGGUGGAAAGAAUUUCGGUCAAGGAUGGACUCGCGGCCUAUCAGCUAGUUGGUGAGGUAAAGGCUCACCAAGGCGACGACGGGUAGCCGGCCUGAGAGGGUGACCGGCCACACUGGGACUGAGACACGGCCCAGACUCCUACGGGAGGCAGCAGUGGGGAAUAUUGCACAAUGGGCGCAAGCCCGAUGCAGCAACGCCGCGUGAGGGAUGACGGCCUUCGGGUUGUAAACCUCUUUUAGCAGGGAAGAAGCGAAAGUGACGGUACCUGCGGAAAAAGCACCGGCUAACUACGUGCCAGCCGCCGCAGUAA